AGCUAUGAGCCAAGAAGAUGGAAAUAUUUGUAUAACUCCUUGGAGAAAGUGGGGUACAGAGUGCUUUUUCUUUUUCCUUCUUUCUUUUUUCUUUUUCCUUUUAAUAAGACUUGGUUGAAUCUUUAUGUCUCUGGAUCCUAUGAAACUCAAAAGGGUACUAGGUAUGCUGAAUGCUCUAAAUUCCAUCGAGUUUCUUGUUCUAUCUCUCCUGUCAUCCCACAGUUGUUAUUAAGGCCUGGGAUCCUGCAGUCACAUUUCAUGUUGGUGAGUCCAUAGAAGGGAAAUUCCUAGGGUCAACUCUUCUCACCAUCUGACUGAUAACAUGUUUGGGUUCUGAGAAGGCUAACUUUUGAGGAUGUUGGAAGAUGAUGAAGAUGAUCUCAUAGUCCCAUACUGUUCACAAGGAGGAACAAAAUCAUCCCAGAAGGAUGCAGAGCCUGGAUAUCGAGGAGAAAGAGGCGGAUCCUGUGGAGGGUUGGUCCAGAGCACGAAAUUGAAUGUGCGAUUUUUACCAUAGUCACACAGAUACUAUUCUGAAGUCAAAUCUUGUUUCUAAAGUGCUAGACCUAUGGUAGAUGCUGAAGAGGAAGUUAUAACACAAGUCCUACCAUAAGGAAGCAUUGUCUUCAGAUAUGAGAUAGGAUCACUCAGGUAGAUUAUUCAAGGUAAUUGCUGACAGCACACAGGUAGUGCCAUAUGAAUGCACAGAAAUUCGUGCAACAGGAAUCAGAGGGUGCUGACAGUGGAGUGGGUACUUAGACUUUGAGUUGAGGGAAGGAUUCAAGUAAGAAAGGGUGUAUUUCUUGGUAGGAAAUGAUGUGAUGAGAGUAUGAAUGUAUACCCUUUUCUAGAAGGAGUACAUGCAGGCCACAUGGCUGGAGCGUUGCCCUAUCUGUGUAGCAG
RNAcentral lists this long non-coding RNA (903 nucleotides) under Mus spicilegus (steppe mouse). Its description in RNAcentral is "lncRNA (ENSMSIG00000004609.1)". Lineage: Eukaryota; Metazoa; Chordata; Mammalia; Rodentia; Muridae. The record is from RNAcentral.